ACGGGAGGCAGCAGUAGGGAAUAUUGGGCAAUGGGGGAAACCCUGACCCAGCAACGCCGCGUGAGGGAAGAAGGUUUUCGGAUUGUAAACCUCUGUCCUUAGGGACGAAGAAGUGACGGUACCUAAGGAGGAAGCUCCGGCUAACUACGUGCCAGCAGCCGCGGUAAUACGUAGGGAGCAAGCGUUGUCCGGAAUUACUGGGCGUAAAGGGUGCGUAGGCGGUUUGUUAAGUCAGAUGUGAAAUACCGGGGCUCAACUCCGGGGCUGCAUUUGAAACUGGCAGACUUGAGUGCAGGAGAGGAAAGCGGAAUUCCUAGUGUAGCGGUGAAAUGCGUAGAUAUUAGGAGGAACACCAGUGGCGAAGGCGGCUUUCUGGACUGUAACUGACGCUGAGGCACGAAAGCGUGGGGAGCAAACAGGAUUAGAUACCCUGGUA
RNAcentral lists this ribosomal RNA (436 nucleotides) under uncultured bacterium. RNAcentral describes it as "partial 16S ribosomal RNA". It matches the Rfam family "Bacterial small subunit ribosomal RNA", at positions 341 to 792 of the family's 1533-position model. The record is from RNAcentral. RNAcentral also lists the same sequence under 1 other name.